GGCAGGGUAGCUCAGGGGUAGAGCAGAGGACUCAUAAGCCUUUUGUCGGGAGUUCAAUUCUCCCUCCUGCUACCA
This 75-nucleotide transfer RNA is filed under the name Akkermansiaceae bacterium. RNAcentral describes it as "tRNA-Met". It matches the Rfam family "tRNA". From Rfam's summary of the family: Transfer RNA (tRNA) molecules are approximately 80 nucleotides in length. Their secondary structure includes four short double-helical elements and three loops (D, anti-codon, and T loops). The record is from RNAcentral. Lineage: Bacteria; Pseudomonadati; Verrucomicrobiota; Verrucomicrobiia; Verrucomicrobiales; Akkermansiaceae.